RNAcentral lists this ribosomal RNA (279 nucleotides) under uncultured bacterium. RNAcentral describes it as "partial 16S ribosomal RNA". It matches the Rfam family "Bacterial small subunit ribosomal RNA", at positions 506 to 784 of the family's 1533-position model. The record is from RNAcentral.
UGCCAGCAGCCGCGGUAAUACGAAGGGGGCUAGCGUUGUUCGGAAUUACUGGGCGUAAAGCGCGCGUAGGUGGCCAAGUCAGUCAGAUGUGAAAGCCCUGGGCUCAACCUGGGAACUGCAUCUGAUACUGCUUAACUUGAGUGCGAUAGAGGAUGGCAGAAUUCCUGGUGUAGUGGUGAAAUACGUAGAUAUCAGGAGGAAUAUCGGAGGCGAAGGCGGCUAUCUGGAUCGACACUGACACUCAGACCCGAAAGCGUGGGGAGCAAACAGGAUUAGAUA